This 472-nucleotide ribosomal RNA is filed under the name uncultured bacterium. Its description in RNAcentral is "partial 16S ribosomal RNA". It matches the Rfam family "Bacterial small subunit ribosomal RNA", at positions 28 to 507 of the family's 1533-position model. The record is from RNAcentral.
GACGAACGCUGGCGGCGUGCUUAACACAUGCAAGUCGAACGCUGACGCUUGGUGCUUGCACUGGGUGGAUGAGUGGCGAACGGGUGAGUAAUACGUGCGUAACCUGCUCUUGACUCUGGGAUAAGCCUGGGGAACUGGUUCUAAUACUGGCUACGACAUGUCACCGCAUGGUGGUGUGUGGCUAGGGUUUUUGUGGUUUUGGAUGGGCUCACGGCCUAUCAGCUUGUUGGUGGGGUAAUGGCCCACCAAGGCGACGACCGGUAGCCGGCCUGAGAGGGUGACCGGCCACAAUGGGACUGCGACACGGAGCAGAGUCCUACGGGAGGCAGCAGUGGGGAAUAUUGCACAAUGGGAGGGAGCGUGAUGAAGAGACGCCGCGUGAGGGAUGACGGCCUUCGGGUUGUAAAAAUCUUUCAGCAAGGAAGAAGCGAAAGUGACGGUACGUGAAGAAGAAGCGCCGGCUAACUACGUG